This is a long non-coding RNA of Heterocephalus glaber (naked mole-rat), 6948 nucleotides long. The record is from Ensembl. Lineage: Eukaryota; Metazoa; Chordata; Mammalia; Rodentia; Bathyergidae.
UCUCUCCCCAGUCCCUUCUAUUUAGCAUAUUUUAAAAAUUUCUGUAGUAGUAGUUUCUUUCUUUCCUUCCUUUCUUUUUCUCUUUCUCUCUCUUUCUCUCUCGCUCUUUCUUUCUUCUUUCCUUUCUUUCUCUUUCUUUCCUUUCUUUUUCUCUUUCUUUCUUUCCUUUCUUUUCCUCUUUCUUUCUUUCUUUCUCCCCGCCCCAGACAGGGACUUGCCAUAUAGUUCAGGCUCACCUUGAACUCACUGUGUAGCCCUGGCUGGCCUUGAACUUGCAGUGAUCCUCCUGCCUUGGCCUCCUGAUUGUUAGGAUUAGGGGAAGUGGAGGCGGCGCUGUGCCUGAAGCCUUCGCCUGUGGAUCCGGUGCGACUCAGACGCUGCCAGAACUGAACUGAGAUGCAGGACGCCCCGCUGCUGAAGCGGUACCGGGAAAACCAUGCAUUUGGUGUCAGAUAUGUGGAGGGUAAAUCCAGCUCCCUGAUGCAUUCACUGAAGCGUGCACUAGAAAAAACGUCUGACCUAACUGCUUCCCUUAGUCUCCAUUUUUGACAGUAUAAGCUGAAAGCAGUUAUUAAGCUUGUAUAAUAUGUCUAGCACUGACGAUAUUUCUUUUGAGAAAUACAGCAACAGAUUUCUAGCACCAAGAAAGAGAAUAAUGAACUGUGGCAAACACUCUUAGGAACCCCAAAAGUGCUACUGGAGCUUACCUUUUAUGUAUUUCCAAAUAUCUAACUGGCAAGAAACUAUGAUUAUGAAUCAGACUAGAGGAUGUGGGAUAGUUCAUGAUUGUGAAGUCAUCUCACUAAAAAUUCCUUAAUUGACAUAUUACUCACUUUAAGAUGCUAUAAUUCCAGGAAAGAAAAGGUGAUUUGGGGGUAAAUUCUGUUUCACUAACAUUGUCUUAUUCCCACUGGGUUCUAGAUUAGCAAAUGGUCUCAGUCAGGUCUCCAGGACAAGCACAUGCUCCUAGACAAAAUCCUUCCUGACAGAGUGGUGCUUUGUCCAGAUUUCUGGAGUCUUCUCUAUGCUGCCUCAUUUAUCUUUCUUCUUUUAGUUCUUUAAUGCUGUUUUUCCUAUUUUCUCUAGAUUUUUUACCUAUCUUCUGUAGAGGUUACCUUGCUCACCAAUAUUAUGUAUGACGUUCCUAUAUUUUAUAAUAAGCUUCAGAAUUUUAGUGGUUGUCAUAGCACUAAUGUCCUAGUGACUAUCCUAAUAAUACCAAGAAGACAAGAGUCCAAUUAUAUGUUAUAAAAGAUCACACAGCACCAUUAUUUUUUGCUCAAUUUAUAAUGGCCAAAAAACAUUCAGGAGGAUUUUUAAAGGUUCAUUAUGUAGAAGCCCUAGAAUCAAACAGAUUGUGUUGUAUAUGAAUAAAGUUACAUUUAUUUUAUGACUAUUCCCUUUUGGGAUAGUAAGGCAUUCUUUUAAAAAAUAUUACAAUCAAUGCAAUAUUACUUAUUUUAAAAAUGAAAACUAUUAUUAAACCAAUGAUGCUUACUCAUAUUGAUGGUCCCUUAAAAUAGAAAAAAUACUGUAUUUUGUAUGUCUGGCUUUAACGUCUGCCCGUUCUGUGCUGCGCUGAAUGUUCACCCAAGCCUCCUAGAUAAGCUGCUGGUGAUUAUCAACGGGGAUCCAUCAUCUUCCUUGGGAUCCGCAUUCUGAAGUGUUGUAAAUAAAUUACAGCAAGUCCCCAACUUACGAACAUUCGAGCUGCGAUUUCACGGACACGAAGGACUCACGUUAGGAACAUGCGCAGAUGCGGACACCCCCGGAAGUGGCUGGGCCCUCUGCCCCCUGCGCAGUGCGAUGGUGCAGGGCAGCACAGCUCAGUCAGCGCCUGGACGUCCGGAGCCAGGAGAGGGGUCGCUGGGGAGCGCAAAGCAGCGCACGCUGUGUGUUUGUGUCAAACGUGUGUGAGGCUCGCUCUGCCGGACUUAGGGGUGAAGCAGAUUUAGAAUGUUCUCUUGAAUCAGAACUUGUAUGGAAGUUGGGGACUUACUGUAUUCCGAAGAAUAAAGUCUGCAGAAAAAUCUUUUUUUUUUUUUGGUACCGGGGAUGGAACUUGGGACCUUGUGCCUGCAAGCCAGGCCAUGGAACCACUGAGCUAGCUUGAUCUCUAGCUUUAAUCAGCAAUAAUUUCUUUUGAAAUAAAUUACCUACUUUAAAACUCUGUAGGACCGGGGAUUUAGCUCAGUGGUUCUGCCACCUGCCUCGCAGGCGCAAGGUCCCGAGUUCAAUUGCCGGUAUCAAAAAAACAAAAAAACCCCAACUCUGUAAAGUAAUCUCUCUAAAAGUUAUAGUUUUAAUAUGAGAUGAUACCUACUUUUUAUUUAACAUAUUUUAAAAUUUAUUAUAAAAAAUUAGGUACUGGAGAUUUAGCCUUAAGUAAAACCAAGGCUUGCCCUGGUUUUGAUAAAGUUUGAGUCUAUUUUAACUUCAUAGUUCCUAGUCAACAUUAUUUUUAAUUUUCAUCAAGCCCAAUUAACCUGGUUAAAUUCUGGGUUCCUCAUAAAGCUAAAAGAUGACCCACUUUGGACAUCAACGUGUAUCUGAUAUUAUAAUCCUUUAAUGAGGCAUUGUUGACUUCCUCUCUGAAGAAUGGGAUGAACUUGGGGUACAGGGCUUGCUUUAAAAUUCACAAUGUCGGGAAUCAUAUCCUCACUUUUGCAUAUUUUAUGUUAAAGCUAUGUUUACUUUUGUGGAGCUACCAGGAAAUAGUACCUUAGCAGCUCUUACCUUUGAGGGCUGAGGAGGAUAGAAGGUGGGACUGGUGCAUACAGAAGGCAGACAGGGAUUGGAACCCUUGACCUGCCAGUACUGAGUGACCCAGAACAAGUUAUUUCAUUGCUCAGCUCCCAUAUUUAUUUUUCUACAAACUAAAAAUGAUGACACCUACACUGGUGAAUUUUGAGAGCACUAAACUGUAGAGCACAUGUGAGUAUCUAGCAUAUAGAGACUGUUAGGAAUACAGAUACCACUUGUAAUAGCUACCGCCUUCUCUCUUCCCCUUCUCCAAGGUGGUCCCAAAUCACAAGUUCUGAAACAAAUUAGGAGAAAAAUUGAAUGGCUUUCUUUUCUGUUCUAGAAUCUCUUUUCUUGGCUUUACAUUAAGGUAUCCUAUAAAGAGAGUUGCUCUCUCCACCACAUAAAAGCAUUACAGUCAUCUAAUUGUAAAUUAAAUGCUAAGCCUGCUUCACUGUGGGAUAUGAAGCUUGUGGAUCUGAGGUCAAGUUUUUCUUGAUAGGGAAAGAAUAAUAACAACCUUUGGCUGUCCAAGCAGAAAGGAUAUGUUUCUUGUGACAUUUAAUCUAAUAAUAAAAGGCUGUGGGUAGCUUCUUGUGGGAGGUAGGCAAAUGCUAGCAGCAGGAAAUGCUCUGCACUGGUUGUCACAGUUCAAGGUUGAGUAACCUCUGGCUAAUGUGGAAAGAGUUCGUUGAUCACAAUUCAGCUGAACAAAUAUGUAUCCUGGAAUGCAAAGUGAAUUUAUUGGAAUUGCUGAUUUUAUGUUCAAAUUUACAAUACAUACUGGAAAGAGAUUGAUACUAUGUCAUAUUUUGCUUUGGGAAAACUGAAUUUGAACAAGUGGAUCUCAACUUGAAUCCUAAAGGUCAUGCUGGCUUAUCCAAUUUCAAGAAAAAUUAUUGACUCAAAUUUGUUGGAGGAAAUUAUUUUUCAUGAUGUGGAAUCUUUUCAAACUAUUGUUCACAUGACCUCCAACAUGUGUUUCAUAAAGUGAAGAAGAAAGAAAGAAAGAGAAACACAAACAUUAAAUCUGAGUGGUUAGAAGAUUUUGUGGUGUAGGGAAGAAGCCAAACCUGCUGCAGAGGCCCUGUGUGUCUGGUGAUGGCGUCUGCUUCCCCAAGAGGAUCUUGUUGCCUUUGCAGGCAGGGCUGCAGUGGCUGAUGCCCCUGUCUGCAGACUGCCUGCUGUGAAGGAGGACAUUUAGAGGAUGAUUUCCAAGCUACAGCACGGCCAACACAGAGUUUAUAAAAAGAAGGGCAGCACUGUCAAGCGUGGUUUAGAACACAACAGUGGUAAUUGUUCUUAUGCUGAUGAUAAAUUUUUCCUUCUCAACCUGAAUGGAGCAGCCUACUGGGGAAGGUUUUCAGCCCUGGACUCUGUCCGCCUCCCUGCUGGGCAGGAAAGCAAUUGUUCACUUUCAUGCCCUCUUUCUGUUCAGUCCUAGAAACCUGUGACAUUGAAGUUACUGAGCCUUGCAGUUUAGUUAAGGUCUCCAGUUGAGUCUGGGUAAGACACCAGGAAGUGGGGAACUAACUUUCUAAACAGAUUUAAAGAACAGGGGGGCAGUCCCCUUAACAGAUGGCAGUUUGACUUAUGGAAAAGUCAAUUGCCUCUUUUCAUUUCCAGAAGGCACUGAAGAGCUGGAGGAGCAGCUCACAGAGUGGAAAAACUGCAACUGAGAAUAGCAAAAGAGAAUGAGGGACUUCUGAGCCAAGUCAGAUCAAAGAACGUUUGAGGACGUGUGAGCAUUUGGAACACUUCAAAGGCGUGACAAGAGCUAUUCUCCCCACCUCCAGCCUCAAAUGCAUAUCUAAUAUUCCUGGGCAAGCUUUCCCAUGCAAAGCAAAAUGUUCUGUUUUUCUUCGUCUUUCAUUAGGCUGGGAUCUGAGAGCACAGAAAGUGCAAAACACAAUGAUGAAGUUUAAGGGCAGCCCUUGUUAAACCCCACACUUACAUGAGGAGGUGAGCAUUUAAAACUGCUACUUCAGGUGGCAGUGUUGCUUGUCCCUGCUGAGCUGCUGCUGAUCUCACUGUGGUUUAGAAUUUCUGGAGUAAAUGAAUGAGUGAAUGAAAUGACAAACAGCGAGUGAAGGAUACACAAGCAGACGCCCCUGCUGAAGCUGUGUUGUGGGUUGCAGUGGGCAGGAGGCAGGCGAUGGGAGAAAUAAAGCAGCUUCCUUCUGAGGUCUUCUGACACUCAUGGGUGUGUACCCCUUCAGCAUGUCGAAUGCAUCUGCCGUAGAAAAGUGAUGUGCAGUUCAUGUCUUCCUUUUUAUAACGUUGGAUGGCUGAGAUAAUGUCAUUCUGUUCUGGGUGCUGACCUGGCAUAGGAUACAUUUGGAGGCCUUUAAACCUGGAAUAGAUGAAGGGGCUUCAAAGAAACUGAAUAAAACCGACACAGUCUCUUCGGAUUUUGGUGUAAAUUUACUGAUACAAGAUGGCACUGUGGCUUGAAUGUUUCCUUCAGUAUUCGGUGUUGGACAUUUGUUCCCCAGUGCAGCAUUGUUGAAUGCUGGCUUUGGGAAGUGAUUAGGAUAUUAGGACUCUAGCCUUCAGAUGCACAAACACUGUUAUUGUGUGAAUGGGUUAGUUAUUGUGAGAGUGAGCUCUUCCUUGGUAAAAGGAAUGACCUCUGUCUGUCUGUCUCCCCUCCCCCUUCUGCUAUGAGCUGAAGUGGUAAGGUCCUUGACAGACUCGGGCCUUGACUUUGAACUUUUCCGUGUAAGAAACAAAUCUCUGUUCUUUAUAAAUUACCUAGCCUCAGGUAUUAUGUUACAGCUGCACAAAAUAGACAAAGACAAAUGGAAAGAGAUGACUGUGAAUAUAAACUAAAAACCCACUUGUCUCAAUAAAUUGCAACUGCCUGGGUAGAACAGCAACUGUAAUAUUAUAGUCAAAUUCCUUUAAAAAAUUUGAGGGUAACAUUAGGGUUAGAGAUUUAUGCUUCAUUCUGAGCCACUGACAAACUCAUUCAUAAUGUGUUUUCCCUGGACAUCGGGCUAGCUCGGACUUUCUGGUGGACUCAUCCGCAGCUGUGAUGAUAGAGGAUGCACAGGUGGAGCAGAGUUUGGGGCCCAUAUAUCUUACUCUUCCUGAGGCACCAAAGGUCAGGUCGAUAGCAGCUGCAUGGAUCUUCCACUGUGAUGUUCAAAGUUAAUGUUUUAAGGGGUUGUGUGUGUGUGGUCAUUCGAACUUAUCUCUCGAGGUAAAUUUAGCUUGUGGAAUCAUGGGUAGCUUCUGAUGAGAUUUCAUACCUGGACAAACCCAAACACAAAAACUUAUAUUUGACUAAGAACUUUUCCAGAUCAUGAUUGGAAGCCAUAUGCCAUGACUCAUACCUUGCUGUUAAAAUUCUGUAAAAAUAUUUAAACAAACAAGCCACAGAAGUAAAUUUACAUUUUCACAAAUCCAGUUCGACCUGGACAGCUCUUCUUUACUGAUAAUAAACGGUACUGAAUUCUGUAAAGGAGCAGAUGUCUAUUUUUUGAGGUAAGCAUAUUGUGUCCUGGAUGGAAAACAUCAAAACUUGAAACUCGAGCAGCAAGGAGAAGAAAUGUACACUCAGGUCUUCAGUCAUGAAUAAAACAUCUGAAAUAGGACAAAAUGGACUUUUUCUUAUAAAUAUUGAAGUGACUGGUAUAUUAAUCUACCAACAUCUUUGUCCUUUGUGAGUGUCAAGUGGAACACGGAUGCAUUUUGCUUGGGAAGUGACCCCAAAUGUCACUUAUUUGGAUUGUUAAUCAGAUUUCUCUCUGUGUGUGUGUGUGUGUCUUCAUUUUCUCCUCUAUGCAGUGGGGACAGUGGUAAGGAAACAUGAAGAGCAUCCUGGGGAGAGGGUAAAGCAGGAUAAGCAGGAGUCUGUGUCCCUCUCAGGUAGCAGUCCCUGGAUGACCUAUCUGACAUAGCUACUUUGGAACUCUAGAGUCAACUGAAUGCUGUCAACUUCUAGAAGAAUGUGUAGGGAUCGAAUUGCAGUUAACUUCGUUCAGUUACAGCUCUCAGCUCGUCAGCUGUCUCUGGUCCCCAGCCCACCCCACCCCUAGCUGUGUGGCUGAUGGCAGUGCUUGAGCUCCCGCAGCAGCUUGCAGGACGUUUUUGGAGCCUGUGUGGUGAAGGACCAUGUCCUCCACACGGGGGGCAUCUGUGCCCUGAUUGCCGAGGAGGCUUCUGAUCAAGGGGGUGCAGACACAGAGCAACCGCCCUGUG